GCCUAGACACACAGCCAGAGCCUUCUCACUUGCAUAAGGGCACCCUAAUAGUAAUACUGGUGAGACAAAUUCCUGGGCUUCCAGGGUUGGAUGGCACUCUCCACAGUGCAGCUCAGUACUGGGUUUAAGAGGUCUCUCUGUUCUUACGGUUAGGAGAUGAUUUGUGACAAAAACCACUUGGGUCGGUCUCAGUCCUUAAGUCUUCAGUAUUUUAAGGACACAUGAAAAGUUUUGCAUGGAUGAAGGACUGUGAUAAGCGACCAAGUCUGUUUCCUAAAGUCGUCCAGGAAACGUCCUAAUGGGCAACAGCUGAUUCCAAGAAACCCUUCAGAGUGGCAUUGAGUGGGGACUGAAGCUCUGGGGAUUUUGAGGGUAGCGAGGAGACAAACCACCUCACAGAGCAGCUGGGGAUUUCCCAGGAGGCCCUGCUCAGUUGAGUCACAGGUCCUGUGUUUGACCUGUGGUCUUGUGGAGCGGCAGAACCUCACCGAGCUGCCAAGGAAGCAGAACGCUCCUCGCUGCCCUGAGAUCGAAAGGUUUGUCUGCUGGGGACUAGUGGGGGACUAGAGGAGUGAGGACGGACUGUGUGCUCCAGUGCAGAUUUCUAGACUGUUCUUCCCUUGUAGUUUAUAAUUUCCAUCUCAUAGCCCACGACAUAAAGAUUAAAAAAUGAAGUUGGUCCCCCCUUUUCUUUUUUUCUUUUUCUUGAGACAAGGUCUUGUGUAGCCCAGUCUAGUCUCAAACUCUCUGUAUAGCCUGACACUGAAUUUCUGACUCUCCUGCCUCCAUCUCCUGAGUGCUAGGAUUACUACUGUACCUGAUUGAGUACCUGGGUUCCAUGCAUGCUAGGCAGGUGCUUCACCGCCUGAGCUUCAGCACCAGCCUUAGAAUUUGUUUUUAAUUGCCUUUUUUGUUUGUUUACAAUCCUCAAAUCUCAAAAUUGGCAAGUACAGGUCUGUGCUUAAGAAACCCUGACAGUGGGCUGGAGAGAUGGUUCGGUGGUUAAGAGCACUGACUGCUCUUCCAGAGGUCCUGAGUUCAAAUCCCAGCAACCACAUGGUGGCUCACAACUAUCUGUAAUGGGAUCUGGUGCCCUCUUCUGGUGUGUCUGAAGACAGCUACAGUGUACUUAUAUAUAAUAAAUAAAUAAGUCUUUUUUAAAAAAAGAAAAGAAAGAAACUCUGACAGUAAAUUAACAGGGGUCUUUUAAAAUGAGCCCAAUUAAAUGUUC
This 1231-nucleotide long non-coding RNA is filed under the name Mus musculus (house mouse). RNAcentral's name for it is "long non-coding RNA chr4:150927549-150928780". The record is from RNAcentral. Lineage: Eukaryota; Metazoa; Chordata; Mammalia; Rodentia; Muridae.